AUUGAACGCUGGCGGCAUGCCUAACACAUGCAAGUCGAGCGGCUGCAGGGGUCUUGCUCCUUGAUUCAGCGGCGGACGGGUGAGUGAAGCCUAGGAAUCUGCCUGCUGGAGGGGGGUAACGUCCGGCGACGGGCGCUAAUAUCGCACAUGUGCUGAGGGAGAAAGAGGGGGAUCUUCGGAGCCCACGCUAUCAGAUGAGCCUAGGUCGGAUUAGCUAGUUGGUGGGGUAAAGGCUUACCAAGGCGACGAUCUGUGACUGGUCUGAGAGGAUGAUCAGUCAAACUGGAACUGGGCCACGGUCCAGACUCCUACGGGAGGCAGAAGGGGGGAAUUUUGGACAAUGGGCGAAAGCCUGAUCCAGCCAUGCCGCGGGUGUGAGAAAGGUCUUCGGAUUGUAAGGCACUUUGAGUGGGGAGAAAGGCCUGUAAGUAAAAACCUUGCUGUUUUGCCGUUACCAAAAGAAUAAGCCCCGGCUAACUUCGUG
Molecule: ribosomal RNA, 484 nt
Filed under: uncultured bacterium
Lineage: Bacteria
Description: partial 16S ribosomal RNA
Rfam family: Bacterial small subunit ribosomal RNA
Source: RNAcentral